GCGAACAGACGAGGAGCUUGCUCCUCUGACGUUAGCGGCGGACGGGUGAGUAACACGUGGAUAACCUACCUAUAAGACUGGGAUAACUUCGGGAAACCGGAGCUAAUACCGGAUAAUAUAUUGAACCGCAUGGUUCAAUAGUGAAAGACGGUUUUGCUGUCACUUAUAGAUGGAUCCGCGCCGCAUUAGCUAGUUGGUAAGGUAACGGCUUACCAAGGCAACGAUGCGUAGCCGACCUGAGAGGGUGAUCGGCCACACUGGAACUGAGACACGGUCCAGACUCCUACGGGAGGCAGCAGUAGGGAAUCUUCCGCAAUGGGCGAAAGCCUGACGGAGCAACGCCGCGUGAGUGAUGAAGGUCUUCGGAUCGUAAAACUCUGUUAUUAGGGAAGAACAAAUGUGUAAGUAACUAUGCACGUCUUGACGGUACCUAAUCAGAAAGCCACGGCUAACUACGUGCCAGCAGCCGCGGUAAUACGUAGGUGGCAAGCGUUAUCCGGAAUUAUUGGGCGUAAAGCGCGCGUAGGCGGUUUUUUAAGUCUGAUGUGAAAGCCCACGGCUCAACCGUGGAGGGUCAUUGGAAACUGGAAAACUUGAGUGCAGAAGAGGAAAGUGGAAUUCCAUGUGUAGCGGUGAAAUGCGCAGAGAUAUGGAGGAACACCAGUGGCGAAGGCGACUUUCUGGUCUGUAACUGACGCUGAUGUGCGAAAGCGUGGGGAUCAAACAGGAUUAGAUANCCUGGUAGUCCACGCCGUAAACGAUGAGUGCUAAGUGUUAGGGGGUUUCCGC
This 789-nucleotide ribosomal RNA is filed under the name uncultured Staphylococcus sp. RNAcentral describes it as "bacterial SSU rRNA". It matches the Rfam family "Bacterial small subunit ribosomal RNA", at positions 66 to 837 of the family's 1533-position model. Lineage: Bacteria; Bacillati; Bacillota; Bacilli; Caryophanales; Staphylococcaceae. The record is from RNAcentral.